RNAcentral lists this ribosomal RNA (254 nucleotides) under uncultured bacterium. RNAcentral's name for it is "partial 16S ribosomal RNA". It matches the Rfam family "Bacterial small subunit ribosomal RNA", at positions 524 to 776 of the family's 1533-position model. The record is from RNAcentral.
UACGUAGGGGGCAAGCGUUGUCCGGAUUCAUUGGGCGUAAAGAGCUCGUAGGCGGCUUGGCAAGUCGGGUGUGAAACCUCCAGGCUCAACCUGGAGACGCCACCCGAUACUGCCAUGGCUAGAGUCCGGUAGGGGACCACGGAAUUCCUGGUGUAGCGGUGAAAUGCGCAGAUAUCAGGAGGAACACCGGUGGCGAAGGCGGUGGUCUGGGCCGGCACUGACGCUGAGGAGCGAAAGCGUGGGGAGCGAACGGG